GGCCUCCGUAGCUCAGUGGUUAGAGCACUGGUCUUGUAAACCAGGGGUCAAGAGUUCAAAUCUCUUCGGGGCUU
Molecule: transfer RNA, 74 nt
Filed under: Desmophyllum pertusum
Lineage: Eukaryota; Metazoa; Cnidaria; Anthozoa; Scleractinia; Caryophylliidae
Description: tRNA-Thr
Rfam family: tRNA
About the family: Transfer RNA (tRNA) molecules are approximately 80 nucleotides in length. Their secondary structure includes four short double-helical elements and three loops (D, anti-codon, and T loops).
Source: RNAcentral